UACCCACUGAGGACUACUUGUUUUUACAGUAGUUCUCACGCCCAGUUGUUACUACUGUUUUGCAGAGCCACCGGUUUCAGUUGCUGCGCCUUCCGAAGCUGAUCGAGGUAAGGGCGUCGCGAGUUAGAGCCCUACCCGACGAGUUGCUGAGAUAGAGGAUCCACUAUUGCAGAUAUGGGCAUGGGACAACCUGCAUAUUGGCCGCCCUGAGGUAGUAGGCCCGCAGCCUGAGCUUGUCGACAUGCCAUUAGGGCGUCGGUGGAAUACUAGAUUAGCAUUUCGGGACAAUGUCAGGACUACUGACAUUGAGUUUUAUCGUGAUCAGCUGGAUCAGCAGUUAGAGUCUCAGGUAUAUACAAGUUACUCAAUCUGUCGAAUUUUGUAUUCAAUAAUGUGAUUUAUCAGUAUCUUCCCAUUAGGAACACUUAGUUGCAUGUCAAGUUUUACUCUAGCUGCAUGCCUCAGGCCAAUGUAUAGAACAUACCAAAACCCAAUAAAAAACAUCUCC
Ananas comosus (pineapple) is the source of this 508-nucleotide long non-coding RNA. RefSeq lists it as uncharacterized. NCBI's taxonomy places the organism in Eukaryota, Viridiplantae, Streptophyta, Magnoliopsida, Poales, Bromeliaceae. The transcript has 3 exons. The record is from RefSeq and is a predicted model, not a curated record.